Molecule: ribosomal RNA, 2771 nt
Filed under: Acrasis kona
Lineage: Eukaryota; Heterolobosea; Eutetramitea; Acrasida; Acrasidae
Description: large subunit ribosomal RNA
Rfam family: Bacterial large subunit ribosomal RNA
Source: RNAcentral
UAAAAGAAUGUUAAUAUAUAUUGCGAAUAUCUUGAUAUUUAUUAUAUAAACGUAUUAAUGUAAAUUAUUUAAUAUUUAUGGAUAAUUAAAUAUAAAUAUAUAAAAAUAAAGUGAAUUGAAUCAUCUUAUUAACUUUAAAUGAAAUAAAAAUAGAAAAAUUAAGUAAUGGCGAAUGAAAAUAAUUGAAAUAAUGUAUUAAAAUUUUUUUUACUAAAUCUUAUAAAAUUGAUGAUAGUUGGUUUUAUUGUAAUUAUAAAGUAUAAUUCUUGUUGAAAGAAAAGAAAUAAAAAAAUAUAAGAGUAUAAUGUUUUUUAUGUUAGAAAAAAGAUUUUCCAUAAUCUAAAUUUAAAAAAAUAAAUAAUCGAAAGAGAACAAGUACUGUGAAGGAAAGUAGAUGAAAGAAAACUAAGGAUAAAGUACCUGAAUUGAAAUAGUAUAUAGAUAAGCAUUUAUUAUAGACUGCUACUAUAAAUUUAAUUUACUUUUUUGUAUUUUAGGUUUAUAGUAGAUUUGUGGAUAUAAAAAUAUACCUUUUGCAUAAUGACGUAAUGAGAAUAUUUAUAUAGCAAAUAUAAAUAAAAUGAAAAUGAAAAAAGUUAAAUAAAUAUGACCCGAAGCUAAGUGAAUUAUUUAUAAUCAGGUUAAUUGAAUAAAGAGGACCGAACUCGUAUAUGUUACAUGAUAUUGAGAUGAAUUGUGAAUAGGGGUGAAAGGCUUGUCAAACUUAGUAUAGCUGGUUUUCUGUGAAAUCUAUAUAGGUAGGGUUUUUUUAUAUAAAAAUAAAGUGGUAAAGUAUAUUUGAUUAAGGGGAAGUAAAAUUUUACUAAGAUUAAAAAAGCUUUGAAUAAUAAAAUUUAAAAAAAAAAAAAAAUCAAACAGUGUGUAAUAAGGCACAUAGUUAAAAGAGAAACAGCUCAUAUUAUAAAUGAAAGUCUACAAUUAAAAAUUUAGUGAUGUAUAAUGAUUAUUAUUAUAUAAAAAAAACAAUUAUGUAUGUGACCUUGGAAGCAGGUAUCAUUGAUAGAAAGCGUAAACGCUCACGUAAUUUAUAUAUAUAAAAUUUAAAAUGUAUAUAGACUAAAAUAUUAUAACUUAAAUUAUAAAAACUGGUAACAGAAUGAUUUGUAAUUAAUUAAAGAGAUUAUUUUAAAAAUAAUUGAAUAAAUCAAAUUUAAUUAUGUUACGAUGAGUAACGUAAAAUAGUAUGAGAAAUACUAUCACUGAAAGCAAGUAAGAUUUAUAUCGAUUAGAUUAUCUUGAUAUAGUUAAACAGUAUCUAAAAAAUAAAUCAAAAUAAUAAUUGAUGAUUAAAAUAUAAUUAAUUUAUUAUAUAUAAAAAAUAAUUGUUAAAUUACAAAUAGUAAAGAAAUGUAAUUUAAUAAUAAUCCUUAUUUUAGGAAUAAUCAGGAAAAUAAUAUAAAUUGUUAUGUUUACUGUACUAAAUCCGACAAAGGUAUGUAGGUAGAAUAUACUAAAGUGAUUAAGAUAAUAAUAUUAAAGGAACUCGGCAAAUUAAUUUCUUAACUUAGGGAGAAGAAAUGUUAUUUAUAUUAUAUAAUAUAAAGACGAAUGUAACAGAAUAGGAAGAAACAACUGUUUAUCAAAAACACAAGAUAUUGCCUAAAUUGAAAAAUGAAGUAUUAUAUUUGACACCUGUCCGGUGCUAGUAUUAAAAAUAAAGAAAUGUAAGUUUUUUUUAUAAUAACUAGUAAACGACGGUCCUAUCUUGAGGAUCUUAAUAGUAGCAAAAUUCCUUGUCAUUUAAUUGAUGACGCGCAUGAAUGGUGUAAUGAUUUCUUUACUGUCUCUAAUAUUAACUUAGUGAAAAUGAAAUUUCUGUGCAAAUGCAGAGUAUUAACAAUUAGACGGAAAGACCCUAUGAACCUUUACUGUAUUCAUAUUUAAUUAAAUACAUAUUAUAUAUUUAGGAUAUAUAUGAAAUAUUAUUUAUAAAUUUAUAUUAUAUUAAUAUAAUAUAAAUUAAAAUUUAUUGUUGUUGUAAUAUUAUUUAUUAUGAUUGUAUUAAUUAUUAGUAAUUUAAAUUAUUAUAAAAUUAUAUUAUAAAAAAUAUGAUGGUCAGUUUUACUGGGGCGGUUAUCACCGAAAUAGUAACGGUGAUGUAUAAAGGUAAAUUAAUUUAAUAUCUAAACAAUAUUAAUAAUAAGCAUAAUGGCAUAAAUUUACUUUACUAUUUUUUAUAACCAUAAAAUUAGUAAUAGAUGAUUAUAACUUUUAAAAAAUGUUAUAAAAUAAAAGAUAUUUAUCAUAAAGAUCCGAUAAAAUAAAAUGGUAUAUUUAUCGCUAAACGGAUAAAAGGUACUCUAGGGAUAACAGGCUGAUAAUUUCCGAGAGUUCACAUCUACGAAAUUGUUUGGCACCUCGAUGUCGACUUAUCAUAUCCUGGUCUAGCAAGGGGCUCCAAGGGUUUAGCUGUUCGCUAAUGAAAAUGUUACAUGAGUUGGGUUCAGAACGUUGAGAAACAGUUCGGUCCCUAUCUAUUGUUAAAAAAAAAAAUAUUAAUUGAACUGUGAGCUAGUACGAAAGGACUGAAACCAGCAUACCUAUGGUGUACUAGUUAUUUUUUAUAAGUAGGCUAGAUAGCUACGUAUGGAUUUAAUAAUUGCUGAAAACAUAUAGGAAUAAGAAAUUUUUAAUUAAAUAUUUUUAUAAAGAAUUAAUUAGGCUAGUUAUAAAAAAUUAAAAUUCAUUUAUUUGUAAUUAUAUUUGUUAAUUUAAUUUUUUGCAUUCUAAUUAUUUUUAAUAAUUUAUUA